AGGUGGGUCCCACUUGUAGCCUAUAGGGCUAGUCUGCUUGCCUAUAUAUCUUUUCUUAUGCAUUUCUUAUUUUUGUAUGGGUUUGAUUUGUUUUAUUAUAAUAUAUUUAUAGGUUUAUAUUAAAGUAUUUUGGCUGGGCAAAGUUAGCAUAUAUAUGUCUGGGAAUCUUUCACCUACAUAGGUGGUGAUGAGCUAAAGCAUAAGGUCCAUAUAUGGUUGCAACCUUUAAUAUAGAUAGAUAAAGGAUAUGUGGAAGCAGGUUGGCAUAGGGGGCUUCUUAAGUUCAUAACCUUUUAAACUUACCAGGUAAACCAUAGGGAAAGAACCAAAAUAACCGGGUAGGAUAGAAAUAACAAAUGUGAGAAUGAGCUAAUGUCAUUAGUAUGUAUGUAUGUCAUCAAUACGUACAAACAUACCAGCCUAUGAAGUAAGUGUACCCCAACAGUUUGUGGGUGAGAAAACUAAGUUUGGACAUAGGAGAACUCAAAUACUCAAGCUCAAUAAGGGGGGUGACCAACCAUGCCAAGGAAGCUUCUGGGUUUCUAAGCUUCAAGUUUCCAGGCUGCCUUGCUUGUUAGUCUAUUAGUCUGUUAGUUCUUAAUUGUAAGUUUUAAAUCCAUUAAGUAAAAUUCUGUUAGCUUUGAUAGCUCUUCAGCUUCUCCUAAGUUCUGCACCUACUGCUCAAGAACUGAGGAACCUGGACCUGAACUCUCUUGGCAUGCCAGAGGUGAGGCUGGUCCUUUGUGUCUUACCACCAGGUUAUCAAGGAAGGUUUAUAAUAAUAAUACC
Long non-coding RNA from Dermochelys coriacea (leatherback sea turtle), 789 nucleotides. RefSeq lists it as uncharacterized. The transcript is spliced from 3 exons. NCBI's taxonomy places the organism in Eukaryota, Metazoa, Chordata, Testudines, Dermochelyidae. The record is from RefSeq and is a predicted model, not a curated record.